RNAcentral lists this ribosomal RNA (459 nucleotides) under uncultured bacterium. RNAcentral describes it as "partial 16S ribosomal RNA". It matches the Rfam family "Bacterial small subunit ribosomal RNA", at positions 338 to 795 of the family's 1533-position model. The record is from RNAcentral.
CCUACGGGGGGCAGCAGUGAGGAAUAUUGGUCAAUGGGCGCGAGCCUGAACCAGCCAAGUCGCGUGAGGGAAGACGGUCCUAUGGAUUGUAAACCUCUUUUGUCGGGGAGCAAAAGACUCCACGCGUGGCGUUCCGAGAGUACCCGAAGAAAAAGCAUCGGCUAACUCCGUGCCAGCCGCCGCGGUAAUACGGGGGGUGCGAGCGUUAUCCGGAUUUAUUUGGUUUAAAGGGUGCGCAGGCGGAAGAUCAAGUCAGCGGUAAAAUUGAGAGGCUCAACCUCUUCGAGCCGUUGAAACUGGUUUUCUUGAGUGAGCGAGAGGUAUGCGGGAUGCGUGGUGGAGCGGUGAAAUGCAUAGAUAUCACGCAGAACUCCGAUUGGGAAGGCAGCAUACCGGCGCUCAACUGACGCUCAUGCACGAAAGUGUGGGUAUCGAACAGGAUUAGAUACCCUUGUAGUC